CUAUGCUUAGCCGUAAACCUGGACAUUAAGGCACAAUAAAAUGUUCGCCAGGGUACUACGAGCAUUAGCUUGAAACCCAAAGGGACUGACGGUGUCUCAGAACCCCCUAGAGGAGCCUGUCCUAUAACCGAUAUUCCCCGUUCAACCUCACCACUUCUGGUCAUCCCAGCCUAUAUACCGCCGUCAACAGCUUACCCUGUGAAGGAUUUAUAAGUAAGCAUAACGGGUACCGCCCAUACGUCAGGUCGAGGUGUAGCGCAUGAAGUGGGAAGAGAUGGGCUACAUUUUCUACAAUAGAAUAUUACGAAUAUGCACCAUGAAACAGUGCUUGAAGGAGGAUUUAGUAGUAAGAGAGAAGUA
This 360-nucleotide ribosomal RNA is filed under the name Puntius brevis. Its description in RNAcentral is "partial small subunit ribosomal RNA". It matches the Rfam family "Bacterial small subunit ribosomal RNA", at positions 790 to 1351 of the family's 1533-position model. The record is from RNAcentral. Lineage: Eukaryota; Metazoa; Chordata; Actinopteri; Cypriniformes; Cyprinidae.